RNAcentral lists this unclassified non-coding RNA (164 nucleotides) under soil metagenome. RNAcentral's name for it is "partial contains small subunit ribosomal RNA, internal transcribed spacer 1, and 5.8S ribosomal RNA". The record is from RNAcentral.
UUUCCGUAGGUGAACCUGCGGAAGGAUCAUUACCAAUUGGCGAACCUAGCGUUAGCGAGGUUUCGCGAUCAAUUUGUAUUUAAAACCCAACUCUUGAAUAAAAUAUAUAAUUAUAUGAAUCAUAUAAAAAAAGAUCACUUUCAACAACGGAUCUCUUGGCUCUC